RNAcentral lists this ribosomal RNA (986 nucleotides) under Escherichia coli. RNAcentral's name for it is "partial 23S ribosomal RNA". It matches the Rfam family "Bacterial large subunit ribosomal RNA", at positions 906 to 1875 of the family's 2925-position model. Lineage: Bacteria; Pseudomonadati; Pseudomonadota; Gammaproteobacteria; Enterobacterales; Enterobacteriaceae. The record is from RNAcentral.
AGCACUGUUUCGGCAAGGGGGUCAUCCCGACUUACCAACCCGAUGCAAACUGCGAAUACCGGAGAAUGUUAUCACGGGAGACACACGGCGGGUGCUAACGUCCGUCGUGAAGAGGGAAACAACCCAGACCGCCAGCUAAGGUCCCAAAGUCAUGGUUAAGUGGGAAACGAUGUGGGAAGGCCCAGACAGCCAGGAUGUUGGCUUAGAAGCAGCCAUCAUUUAAAGAAAGCGUAAUAGCUCACUGGUCGAGUCGGCCUGCGCGGAAGAUGUAACGGGGCUAAACCAUGCACCGAAGCUGCGGCAGCGACACUAUGUGUUGUUGGGUAGGGGAGCGUUCUGUAAGCCUGUGAAGGUGGCCUGUGAGGGUUGCUGGAGGUAUCAGAAGUGCGAAUGCUGACAUAAGUAACGAUAAAGCGGGUGAAAAGCCCGCUCGCCGGAAGACCAAGGGUUCCUGUCCAACGUUAAUCGGGGCAGGGUGAGUCGACCCCUAAGGCGAGGCCGAAAGGCGUAGUCGAUGGGAAACAGGUUAAUAUUCCUGUACUUGGUGUUACUGCGAAGGGGGGACGGAGAAGGCUAUGUUGGCCGGGCGACGGUUGUCCCGGUUUAAGCGUGUAGGCUGGUUUUCCAGGCAAAUCCGGAAAACCAAGGCUGAGGCGUGAUGACGAGGCACUACGGUGCUGAAGCGACAAAUGCCCUGCUUCCAGGAAAAGCCUCUAAGCAUCAGGUAACAUCAAAUCGUACCCCAAACCGACACAGGUGGUCAGGUAGAGAAUACCAAGGCGCUUGAGAGAACUCGGGUGAAGGAACUAGGCAAAAUGGUGCCGUAACUUCGGGAGAAGGCACGCUGAUAUGUAGGUGAAGCGACUUGCUCGUGGAGCUGAAAUCAGUCGAAGAUACCAGCUGGCUGCAACUGUUUAUUAAAAACACAGCACUGUGCAAACACGAAAGUGGACGUAUACGGUGUGACGCCUGCCCGGUGCCGGAAG